AGAGUUUGAUCCUGGCUCAGAUUGAACGCUGGCGGCAGGCCUAACACAUGCAAGUCGAGCGGUAGCACAGAGAGCUUGCUCUCGGGUGACGAGCGGCGGACGGGUGAGUAAUGUCUGGGAAACUGCCUGAUGGAGGGGGAUAACUACUGGAAACGGUAGCUAAUACCGCAUAACGUCGCAAGACCAAAGAGGGGGACCUUCGGGCCUCUUGCCAUCAGAUGUGCCCAGAUGGGAUUAGCUAGUAGGUGGGGUAAUGGCUCACCUAGGCGACGAUCCCUAGCUGGUCUGAGAGGAUGACCAGCCACACUGGAACUGAGACACGGUCCAGACUCCUACGGGAGGCAGCAGUGGGGAAUAUUGCACAAUGGGCGCAAGCCUGAUGCAGCCAUGCCGCGUGUAUGAAGAAGGCCUUCGGGUUGUAAAGUACUUUCAGCGGGGAGGAAGGUGUUGCGGUUAAUAACCGCAGCAAUUGACGUUACCCGCAGAAGAAGCACCGGCUAACUCCGUGCCAGCAGCCGCGGUAAUACGGAGGGUGCAAGCGUUAAUCGGAAUUACUGGGCGUAAAGCGCACGCAGGCGGUCUGUCAAGUCGGAUGUGAAAUCCCCGGGCUCAACCUGGGAACUGCAUUCGAAACUGGCAGGCUAGAGUCUUGUAGAGGGGGGUAGAAUUCCAGGUGUAGCGGUGAAAUGCGUAGAGAUCUGGAGGAAUACCGGUGGCGAAGGCGGCCCCCUGGACAAAGACUGACGCUCAGGUGCGAAAGCGUGGGGAGCAAACAGGAUUAGAUACCCUGGUAGUCCACGCCGUAAACGAUGUCGACUUGGAGGUUGUGCCCUUGAGGCGUGGCUUCCGGAGCUAACGCGUUAAGUCGACCGCCUGGGGAGUACGGCCGCAAGGUUAAAACUCAAAUGAAUUGACGGGGGCCCGCACAAGCGGUGGAGCAUGUGGUUUAAUUCGAUGCAACGCGAAGAACCUUACCUACUCUUGACAUCCAGAGAACUUUCCAGAGAUGGAUUGGUGCCUUCGGGAACUCUGAGACAGGUGCUGCAUGGCUGUCGUCAGCUCGUGUUGUGAAAUGUUGGGUUAAGUCCCGCAACGAGCGCAACCCUUAUCCUUUGUUGCCAGCGGUCCGGCCGGGAACUCAAAGGAGACUGCCAGUGAUAAACUGGAGGAAGGUGGGGAUGACGUCAAGUCAUCAUGGCCCUUACGAGUAGGGCUACACACGUGCUACAAUGGCGCAUACAAAGAGAAGCGAACUCGCGAGAGCAAGCGGACCUCAUAAAGUGCGUCGUAGUCCGGAUUGGAGUCUGCAACUCGACUCCAUGAAGUCGGAAUCGCUAGUAAUCGUAGAUCAGAAUGCUACGGUGAAUACGUUCCCGGGCCUUGUACACACCGCCCGUCACACCAUGGGAGUGGGUUUUACCAGAAGUAGUUAGCCUAACCGUAAGGGGGGCGAUUACCACGGUAGGAUUCAUGACUGGGGUGAAGUCGUAACAAGGUAAC
This 1500-nucleotide ribosomal RNA is filed under the name uncultured bacterium. RNAcentral describes it as "bacterial SSU rRNA". It matches the Rfam family "Bacterial small subunit ribosomal RNA". The record is from RNAcentral.